This 732-nucleotide ribosomal RNA is filed under the name uncultured eukaryote. RNAcentral's name for it is "SSU rRNA". It matches the Rfam family "Eukaryotic small subunit ribosomal RNA", at positions 672 to 1426 of the family's 1831-position model. The record is from RNAcentral.
GGCGUGUACUGCUUGGCUGGGCCUUACUUCUUGGUGAGCCGGCGUGCCCUUUAUUGGUGUGCGUUGGGGAACCAGGACUUUUACCUUGAGAAAAUUAGAGUGUUCAAAGCAGGCCUAUGCCUGAAUACAUUAGCAUGGAAUAAUAGAAUAGGACGUGCGGUUCUAUUUUGUUGGUUUCUAGAGUCACUGUAAUGAUUAAUAGGGACAGUUGGGGGCAUUGGUAUUGAGUCGCUAGAGGUGAAAUUCUUGGAUUGACUCAAGACCGACUAUUGCGAAAGCAUUUGCCAAGGAUGUUUUCAUUAAUCAAGAACGAAGGUUAGGGGAUCGAAAACGAUCAGAUACCGUUGUAGUCUUAACAGUAAACUAUGCCGACUAGGGAUUGGAUGACCUCAAAAUUGAUGUGUCAUUUGGCACCUUACGAGAAAUCAAAGUCUUUGGGUUCUGGGGGGAGUAUGGUUGCAAGGCUGAAACUUAAAGGAAUUGACAGAAGGGCACCACCAGGUGUGGAGCCUGCGGCUUAAUUUGACUCAACACGGGGAAACUCACCAGGUCCAGACAUAACUAGGAUUGACAGAUUGAUAGCUCUUUCAUGAUUUUAUGGGUGGUGGUGCAUGGCCAUUCUUAGUUGGUAGAGUGAUUUGUCUGGUUAAUUCCGAUAACGAACGGGACCUUAACCUGCUAAAUAGCCAGGCCGGCUUCAGCUGGUCUCUGGCUUCUUAGAGGGACUGUCAG